UACGUAGGGGGCAAGCGUUGUCCGGAUUUAUUGGGCGUAAAGAGCGUGUAGGCGGCCUUACAGGUCAGCUGUGAAAACUCGAGGCUCAACCUCGAGACGUCGGUUGAAACCGUCAGGCUAGAGUCCGGAAGAGGAGAGUGGAAUUCCUGGUGUAGCGGUGAAAUGCACAGAUAUCAGGAAGAACACCCGUGGCUAAGGCGGCUCUCUAGUACGGUACUGACGCUGAGACGCGAAAGCGUGGGGAGCGAACAGG
RNAcentral lists this ribosomal RNA (253 nucleotides) under uncultured bacterium. RNAcentral's name for it is "partial 16S ribosomal RNA". It matches the Rfam family "Bacterial small subunit ribosomal RNA", at positions 524 to 776 of the family's 1533-position model. The record is from RNAcentral.